CCUACGGGUGGCAGCAGUGGGGAAUAUUGGACAAUGGGCGAAAGCCUGAUCCAGCCAUGCCGCGUGUGUGAAGAAGGCCUUCGGGUUGUAAAGCACUUUCAGUGGGGAAGAAAGCCUUGGGGCUAAUACCCUCGAGGAAGGACAUCACCCACAGAAGAAGCACCGGCUAACUCCGUGCCAGCAGCCGCGGUAAUACGGAGGGUGCGAGCGUUAAUCGGAAUUACUGGGCGUAAAGCGCGCGUAGGCGGUCUGAUAAGCCGGUUGUGAAAGCCCCGGGCUCAACCUGGGAACGGCAUCCGGAACUGUCAGGCUAGAGUGCAGGAGAGGAAGGUAGAAUUCCCGGUGUAGCGGUGAAAUGCGUAGAGAUCGGGAGGAAUACCAGUGGCGAAGGCGGCCUUCUGGACUGACACUGACGCUGAGGUGCGAAAGCGUGGGUAGCAAACAGGACUAGAUACCCCAGUAGUC
Molecule: ribosomal RNA, 465 nt
Filed under: Vreelandella stevensii
Lineage: Bacteria; Pseudomonadati; Pseudomonadota; Gammaproteobacteria; Oceanospirillales; Halomonadaceae
Description: partial 16S ribosomal RNA
Rfam family: Bacterial small subunit ribosomal RNA
Source: RNAcentral